UACAGAGGGUGCAUGCGUUGUUCGGAAUUACUGGGCGUAAAGCGCGUGUAGGCGGCGUCGUUAGUCGGAUGUGAAAGCCCUCGGCUCAACCGAGGAAGUGCAUCCGAUACUGCGAUGCUUGAGUGUUGGAGGGGGUGGCGGAAUUCCCGGUGUAGAGGUGAAAUUCGUAGAUAUCGGGAGGAACACCUGUGGCGAAGGCGGCCACCUGGACAACAACUGACGCUGAGACGCGAAAGCGUGGGUAGCAAACAGG
This 253-nucleotide ribosomal RNA is filed under the name uncultured bacterium. RNAcentral's name for it is "partial 16S ribosomal RNA". It matches the Rfam family "Bacterial small subunit ribosomal RNA", at positions 524 to 776 of the family's 1533-position model. The record is from RNAcentral.